Molecule: long non-coding RNA, 488 nt
Organism: Ixodes scapularis (black-legged tick)
Lineage: Eukaryota; Metazoa; Arthropoda; Arachnida; Ixodida; Ixodidae
Exons: 2
Source: RefSeq, a predicted model, not a curated record
CGCACUGGUGGCGCCGCAGCGGCAGCAUACUGCACAUCCUUCAAAACUUCAAAUUGACAGCAGUCCUUAAUCCCCCGAAUCCCCCCAAAUGCAAAGUAACACGUGUGUCGGAAAAAUCUUAUCCUGUCUACUUGUGCGGAAACAUGCAUGUUUACGUCUGGUUUUAGGACGGCGACGCGAACGUCGUUAUUCCGUGUAGCGAUAUAAAGAAUUUGAGCACAGUUGGACUUACGGACUUCAACGCCAACCGUUGGUACGACGUGUGGUGGAAGGACACCAAUCAACUGGCUAUUUUCGAUCCCAAAUCAUGAAGAUGCGUGGCUUCUUUGGGCACUAUGUGGACACAACCUGCACCGACGAGACAACACGCAAGGUUUGCAAGGCAGGGAUGAACAAGCUUCUGGCUAGGAAGAUUGCUGAUUUAAAUUGAGAGGUUUGCGUGAAUGUGAGAUUUGUAUGAAUGGGAGAAUAAAUUGUAUUAUCUUAAA